Molecule: non-coding RNA, 102 nt
Organism: Pelobates cultripes (western spadefoot toad)
Lineage: Eukaryota; Metazoa; Chordata; Amphibia; Anura; Pelobatidae
Source: the annotation of a GenBank genome assembly
CCUGUCUUCUCUCUUCUCAUAACUCUCGCGAGACCCGGUUACCAUGGCAACGCUCCGCGGGUCUCGCGAGAGUUAUGAGAAGAGGAGAAGACAGGAGGAGAA